AGGGGGAAGCCGGUGCGAAUCCGGCACUGACCCGCAGCCGUGAGCCGUCGGCGCGCGCCGUGUCCGUGACCCCGCAGGUCACCUCCGUACGCGCCGGGCAGAGUCGGAAUGCCC
RNAcentral lists this non-coding RNA (114 nucleotides) under Streptomyces tsukubensis. The record is from RNAcentral. Lineage: Bacteria; Bacillati; Actinomycetota; Actinomycetes; Kitasatosporales; Streptomycetaceae.